Molecule: transfer RNA, 72 nt
Filed under: Hemigobius hoevenii
Lineage: Eukaryota; Metazoa; Chordata; Actinopteri; Gobiiformes; Gobiidae
Description: tRNA-Ser
Source: RNAcentral
GAGAGAGGCUUGCCAGCAACAAAGACUGCUAACCCCUGUGCCCUCGGUUGGAUUCCGGGGCUCCCUCGGCAG